This 413-nucleotide ribosomal RNA is filed under the name uncultured bacterium. RNAcentral describes it as "bacterial SSU rRNA". It matches the Rfam family "Bacterial small subunit ribosomal RNA", at positions 355 to 786 of the family's 1533-position model. The record is from RNAcentral.
UGGGGGAUAUUGCACAAUGGGCGAAAGCCUGAUGCAGCGACGCCGCGUGAGGGAAGACGGUCUUCGGAUUGUAAACCUCUGUCUUUGGGGAAGAAGAUGACGGUACCCAAAGAGGAAGCUCCGGCUAACUACGUGCCAGCAGCCGCGGUAAUACGUAGGGAGCGAGCGUUGUCCGGAAUUACUGGGUGUAAAGGGAGCGUAGGCGGGGGCGCAAGUUGGAUGUUUAAACGGUCGGCUCAACCGGUCGGUGCAACCAAAACUGCGGCUCUUGAGUGAAGUAGAGGCAGGCGGAAUUCCUAGUGUAGCGGUGAAAUGCGUAGAUAUUAGGAGGAACACCAGUGGCGAAGGCGGCCUGCUGGGCUUUAACUGACGCUGAGGCUCGAAAGCGUGGGGAGCAAACAGGAUUAGAUACC